RNAcentral lists this ribosomal RNA (254 nucleotides) under uncultured soil bacterium. RNAcentral's name for it is "partial 16S ribosomal RNA". It matches the Rfam family "Bacterial small subunit ribosomal RNA", at positions 26 to 285 of the family's 1533-position model. The record is from RNAcentral.
AGGACGAACGCUGGCGGCGUGCUUAACACAUGCAAGUCGAGCGGUAAGGCCUUUCGGGGUACACGAGCGGCGAACGGGUGAGUAACACGUGGGUGAUCUGCCCUGCACUUCGGGAUAAGCCUGGGAAACUGGGUCUAAUACCGGAUAUGACUUCAGGUUGCAUGACUUGGGGUGGAAAGAUUUAUCGGUGCAGGAUGGGCCCGCGGCCUAUCAGCUUGUUGGUGGGUAAUGGCCUACCAAGGCGACGACGGGUA